This is a long non-coding RNA of Arachis duranensis, 1163 nucleotides long. RefSeq lists it as uncharacterized. NCBI's taxonomy places the organism in Eukaryota, Viridiplantae, Streptophyta, Magnoliopsida, Fabales, Fabaceae. The transcript has 2 exons. The record is from RefSeq and is a predicted model, not a curated record.
UCACUUCUCCAAAUAUUUUCUUAAUUAAGAAAUUAAUAUACUAUUGUGUAGUUAAUCUCUUGAUAAUUAGUUUAUUUACAUAAGAGUCUAGGGUUUUUGGGUAUUAACCCUAAGUUGGGGCUUCCUUACUCCAAGCCUGAAAGGAAGUGAUGAUGACCUUAACUGCUAGUUCAUGGAAACCUAUGACUUCGCGUUAGAUAAUUAAGACGCGAAGUUUCAGAGGUCUGCAUGAACUUGGAGAUAAAGGUUAUCUUGAUCUUUUUUGCAUUGGAGUGAAGGGAGCUCCACAUAGGGUAUUCUUAUCCGAUAUAAAAUUGUGUGUCAUUAUAUAUUUGUCAUGAAACAAUUUUUUUCGAAAAAUUUAAAUUGAUAGAAGAAGACACGUAAAUAAUUAUAUAUCUAAUAUGUCUCUUCACGCAUAAUCUCUUUUUGAGUUUACGUAAAUUUUUUGUUAUAGCCUUUUUUUUAUUUAUCUUAUAUUUUUUUAUUAUAAUAAUGGUCGAAUUUUAUAUCUUUUAGUCAUAGAAAUUUUGAUACUGAAUUUUUUUUCUAAAAACUUAAAUUAAUAGGAAGAGUCGCAUAAAUAGUUAUAUUUUUAACAAUAUUAUACAUUCUCGCUAUAUAUUAUUAUUAUUAUUAUUAUUAUUAUUUGACAAAAUGAUGAAUUGAAGUGAAUGGAAAUUGAUGAUUAUAUUAUGUGAUGAUCUUAUUAGAUGAAUCGAAUUUUAGGGUUGUUAAUACUUUACUACAGGGUUACUCUUAUAUAUUUAUCAUCACACUACUCAAGAUAUAUAUAAGUGACAAGACCAUGUUGAGGUUACGGCAAAGGAAAUUGUGUUACGUGAUUCGUCAACCUACAACUGAAGAUCCAAUUGAACCAAGAAUUAUUUAUCUUGAAGGCAGAUCAGAUUCAAUUAUAAAAUUAUUUAUUCUAAAAAAUUAAGCUAAUAAUAAUCUGAGACGAUGGAAGAGUCAAGUGGAGAAUUAUGUCUCUAAUAAAUCUAACUGAGUUAAUAAGUUAGAUGAAGUGUGACUAUAUAUAUUGAAGUGAAGAACUCCUACAAUAAUCUAUGCACAAGUUCUUUUACAAUGUGAUCCACUAUGUAUACUUAUCUUCUUCAUGAAGAAGUAAAAUAUUAAACUCAAGUGUAUUAUUAUAUGAA